Molecule: small nuclear RNA, 128 nt
Filed under: Erythranthe guttata (spotted monkey flower)
Lineage: Eukaryota; Viridiplantae; Streptophyta; Magnoliopsida; Lamiales; Phrymaceae
Description: Mimulus guttatus (spotted monkey flower) U5 spliceosomal RNA
Rfam family: U5 spliceosomal RNA
About the family: U5 RNA is a component of both types of known spliceosome.
Source: Rfam by way of RNAcentral
AACUGUGCAGUGAGCACAUAGCGAACUAUUCUUUUGCUUUUUACUAAAGAAUACCGCAUACUCGCCGCAAUACAACCGCAGCAUACGCCUCUUUAAUUUUUUUAGGGUUAUUUUUCUUUUAGAAAUUU